This is a long non-coding RNA of Rosa rugosa (rugosa rose), 297 nucleotides long. RefSeq lists it as uncharacterized. The record is from RefSeq and is a predicted model, not a curated record. NCBI's taxonomy places the organism in Eukaryota, Viridiplantae, Streptophyta, Magnoliopsida, Rosales, Rosaceae. The transcript is spliced from 3 exons.
UUUCCAACAUCUAAGGAACAUCCUUUGUACAGAGACUCCUACUGGAUUCAAGCUUGAAUUCUUCUUUGAUUCCAAUCCUUACUUUAAAGAUUCCGUGCUCACGAAAACAUUUAUGAUAAUUCGUGGUAACAAGCAUGAAGUGACGAAUGCAAUUGGGAUGGAAAUUGAGUGGUAUCUUGGUAAAAGCCUGACCGACACAGAAAAUGGUGACAGCUUCUUCAACUUUUUUAAGACCCCUGUUGCCAACAGUACUGCUGAAGAUGUCCAAACACUAAUGCAUCAUGAUUAUUGCAUUGG